Amphiprion ocellaris (clown anemonefish) is the source of this 310-nucleotide long non-coding RNA. RefSeq lists it as uncharacterized. The record is from RefSeq and is a predicted model, not a curated record. Lineage: Eukaryota; Metazoa; Chordata; Actinopteri; Pomacentridae. The transcript has 3 exons.
CUGCGUCACCGCAAAAUUGAGGAAAGGAAUAUGUUUGACAUUUUUUCGGAAGAAAACUACGAAAAACUAUUUAUAGUAUGUUUUAAACCAGUUGUUGCUGUUGAUAUAUAAUUUAUUCAGACACCGUGUCACCUGUCAGGAGUUGCAGCUAAAGUAAAAACCACAAAAGAAGCGGAAGUGGGAAGUGGAAGUGGAAAAGUAACAGGAUGCAUUCACUUGUUUAUUGUUCAAGGAUACAUCCAAAGAGGCAUCUUUUUGACUUGGAUUCAACGCAGGAUCCGAUGCAGUUUGACAGAACAACCUUUUGAAG